CUUUCGAGGAAUCUGUUUAUUACCUGAAAGGUACGUUGAUGAUAUGGUACUCAGCUUUGCAACUGGUUGGGACAACAUCUAGGUUGUUUCUCACCGCAUUUCCACUGCUACUGCAUAAUUGGAGGAAACUACGAUUUUGUGAUAUACAGUAUCACAUCGACAUAGUAUUUAGCACGAUUAGCGAUUUUAGAUCUUUAUUUAAAGCAGAACAAU
Long non-coding RNA from Trachymyrmex cornetzi, 213 nucleotides. RefSeq lists it as uncharacterized. The transcript has 3 exons. Lineage: Eukaryota; Metazoa; Arthropoda; Insecta; Hymenoptera; Formicidae. The record is from RefSeq and is a predicted model, not a curated record.